This 275-nucleotide ribosomal RNA is filed under the name uncultured bacterium. Its description in RNAcentral is "partial 16S ribosomal RNA". It matches the Rfam family "Bacterial small subunit ribosomal RNA", at positions 523 to 796 of the family's 1533-position model. The record is from RNAcentral.
ACACGUAGGGAGCAAGCGUUGUCCGGAUUUAUUGGGCGUAAAGAGCUCGUAGGCGGUUUCGUAAGUCGGAUGUGAAAACUCAGGGCUCAACCCUGAGACGCCACUCGAUACUGCGAUGACUUGAGUCCGGUAGGGGAGCAGGGAAUUCCUGGUGUAGCGGUGAAAUGCGCAGAUAUCAGGAGGAACACCAUUAGCGAAGGCGCUGCUCUGGGCCGGUACUGACGCUGAGGAGCGAAAGCAUGGGGAGCAAACAGGAUUAGAAACCCUAGUAGUCC